RNAcentral lists this ribosomal RNA (465 nucleotides) under Vreelandella stevensii. Its description in RNAcentral is "partial 16S ribosomal RNA". It matches the Rfam family "Bacterial small subunit ribosomal RNA", at positions 338 to 795 of the family's 1533-position model. Lineage: Bacteria; Pseudomonadati; Pseudomonadota; Gammaproteobacteria; Oceanospirillales; Halomonadaceae. The record is from RNAcentral.
CCUACGGGCGUCAGCAGUGGGGAAUAUUGGACAAUGGGGGCAACCCUGAUCCAGCCAUGCCGCGUGUGUGAAGAAGGCCCUCGGGUUGUAAAGCACUUUCAGUGAGGAAGAACGCCUGGUGGUUAAUACCCAUCAGGAAAGACAUCACUCACAGAAGAAGCACCGGCUAACUCCGUGCCAGCAGCCGCGGUAAUACGGAGGGUGCGAGCGUUAAUCGGAAUUACUGGGCGUAAAGCGCGCGUAGGUGGCUUGAUAAGCCGGUUGUGAAAGCCCCGGGCUCAACCUGGGAACGGCAUCCGGAACUGUCAAGCUAGAGUGCAGGAGAGGAAGGUAGAAUUCCCGGUGUAGCGGUGAAAUGCGUAGAGAUCGGGAGGAAUACCAGUGGCGAAGGCGGCCUUAUGGACUGACACUGACACUGAGGUGCGAAAGCGUGGGUAGCAAACAGGAUUAGAUACCCUGGUAGUC